This 71-nucleotide non-coding RNA is filed under the name Fragilariopsis kerguelensis. Lineage: Eukaryota; Bacillariophyta; Bacillariophyceae; Bacillariales; Bacillariaceae. The record is from RNAcentral.
GACGACGAUGACGACGAAAAUGAAAUCGACGUCGACCUUGAUCAGUUCGACACGGCGACACAACGAAAACU